This 59-nucleotide transfer RNA is filed under the name Pseudoniphargus unisexualis. Its description in RNAcentral is "tRNA-Arg". Lineage: Eukaryota; Metazoa; Arthropoda; Malacostraca; Amphipoda; Allocrangonyctidae. The record is from RNAcentral.
AGAAAUGAAGUAUUACUACACUCGGUUUCGACCCGAAAAUAGGCAAUUGCCCGUUUCUG